GCCUGCUCCACAGAGUAGUGAGGAGGCUCCAGGAGAAGCCAUCAGAGCCUCGGGGCAGGGCCUGGCACUCACAAGCCCUCCAGGGGACAGCCCUUGUGACCCCCUCAGCACUUUCCCUGGAAGGCAACAGCUGGGCUGCUAGAGUCACCGAGGAAGUAUUUUUUUGGUUACAUUGCACAUUCUCCUUCUCUAUGAAAAUUGGUGCCACCAUUGCUAACUGAUGGACGGAUGAACCUGCCAUUCAAGAAAUAUUUUUUGAAUAAAUGAAUGAAUAACAGAAGACUGAAUGAACAGUGCUCAGAAAGCUACAUGGAAGCUUUAAGGAGGCGUUCACAUCCUCUUUCUGGUAAGUUGCAGGCUGCAUUAGAAAUAAGCAUGUGACUGAUACCAAACUGACCUAAAAAUAGCAAAUGGCAAAGUCACUGGCCUAGGAGGCCGGAGAAUCUUAACACCAGGUGGCCCAGGGCAUACCCAGAGCUUCUGGCAACACACAUCUGGAAAAAGUGGUAGCGGUUCCUUCUGGUCAAAUGACAAAAGCCUCAAUUUGUAUCGCAUAGUGGCUGAUCACAGUCAAUUUCUACCUAGAGGGCGCUACAUUGGACCUAGGUGUUCAGAGUUCCUUAAGUCAUGCUCUGAAUGAAUAGGCAACGAUUCCGAAGUAUGUGAAGCUAGCCUCACAGUUUGAAGUCCUUGAAAUCACACUUUCCAAACAGCUUCAAAUGAAGAACAAGCUCAUACAAACUCAAGGGUGCUUGAUCAAUGAGAGCUCCAGCAAGUGAAGACAUCACAGUCUGGGGCAGUGUGUGCCUGACCCCUUUACCUGUUGAACUAGCUGCUUUUGCCCUUGUUUCAAGGGAAAGGGGCUCUAGAGGAAUUGGGGAUUUAGUGCUCUUAAGGUUUGGGGUUUUGGGUCUCUGAGUUUGGCCAGGCCCUUGGGGACUGUGGACUGAGGUUGAGCCAUGUCUCAAACUCUGGAGAAGUCAAGAAAGGCCACAGAGUGGAACAUCCAGAAUCUACAUCCCAUUCAUGCCAGAGUCCUGUUCCAUCCACUCUCCGAGCAGAUGCUACCACCCUACGAAGGUCCAAGGGACUCCUGAAAAGCAGGCAUGAAUAGACCACAGAGUUAAACAGUGCAAGGGCACACUGUGGACCCACCGUCUUUGGCAAGAUCUUUUGCCUUCUCUCUGAAUCAAAGAAUCAAUGGGAUAGAGCAUGCCUCACAGGGCCACUAUAGGGAUCGAAUAAGAUGACGGAUACCGAAGUGCCUCAUUAACAAUAACGUGACAAAAAGAGUUACUACUAUUCUUGCUGCUAUUAUUGAUUCAAUGGAUAGAAGGGGGUUCCUUUCUGGGAGUCCCCGGGGACUUGGAAGCGUUUCUGGGGCUUCCAGGGGCAUCCCUUCUCUGCACUAUGAAAUUUUGACUGACAGCUCUUCCGUCUUCCUGAGCAACUCCAACAUCUCUUACCUACAGCUGCAGCUGGGGAAGGAGUGUGUGUGUGUGUGUGUGUGUGUGCACGCGCUGCUAGAACAUGGAAAUCACAUUUCCCUGUAUCAAUAUAUACUCCAGAUGAUGUCUGUCACUCACACCUACUCCAGACGUACCCUACCUCUAAGCUGUUGCUCCUGCUGUUCUCCACCUGGAACCUGCUCCCAUCUCUGCCCAGCUAAGUGAAUCAGAGUGCAGCUUCCACUCCUCCAUCACCAGGAAGUCCUCCUGGAUUUUUCCAGCCCAGUGAUGUCAAUGGCUGGCACACUGGGGAAGGAGGGAAGGAAACUGGGCUUAACCUACAGCCUAUCUGGGCUGUGCCAUGGCUGGUGACCAAUGAACCUUCCUGGAAGGAGUGUGCCUCUGUCGCCCCAACUGGCUUUUGUCUGUCUCCUUCCCCAACUGCGAGCUAUUGCCGGGCAGUACAUGGUUGGACCUCAGGGCCCAGCCCAGUGGGUGUGGGAUGACACAGGGCGGAUGGAUCAGGCCUCCGACUUGAGCCACCUCACAUUGGGGAGGGGGAAAUCCAGGUUGGCAAAGAAGCUCUCAGAACCCCAAUGUCAAAGGUGGGGACAGGGACCCAGCCCAACCCUUUAAUUUGGGGAGAUUGAGGCCCAGAGAGGAAAAGUGGCUUGCCCAAGGUCACACAGCCUUGUGGUUUUGGACUCAAGGUUGACAGUUAAGGUGGCUCUGGAUUCCAAUGACCCCAAAGUCCUUAGUCACUGUUCCUGCCUGCUGUCCUCUCCCCACCAGGCUUUGGCUACUCAUCUUGAACUGACCUGAGACUCUAGGGCAGACCUGUGGUCCCCAGCCAGGGAGGAUGGUGGCUUCCCGAGAAACAAGGGAAGUUGCUGAGUGACAGGGGCAUCCCUAGCCUGGUGGGCCAUCCAGACCACCCCAGGCCCUCUUGGUAUUGAAUGGAACAUUUGUUGAGUGGAAGUGAAUUAACUGUUCGA
This is a long non-coding RNA of Callithrix jacchus (white-tufted-ear marmoset), 2443 nucleotides long. RefSeq lists it as uncharacterized. Lineage: Eukaryota; Metazoa; Chordata; Mammalia; Primates; Cebidae. The record is from RefSeq and is a predicted model, not a curated record.